AACGCAUCUUGCGCUCCUUGGCAUUCCGAGGAAGCACGCCUGUCUGAGUGUCAUUAAAAUUCCUCAAAUCCGCUACUCCCCCGCUGGGGGUAGGAACCUGGGUUUGGAUCGGUGGAGGCCUUGUUGCAGGCCGCUUCUCUUUGAAGCCUGCUCCUCUGAAAGGCAUCGUAAGCGAGGGCUGUGAUCGUGCAUUGUCUGUCGCUCUUGGCACGGUAAAAUUCGUUAAGAAUCUUAUGCCACGGACGCAGAAAGGGCCUGCCCCACAGCUGAACUGCGUGCCACACCUCGUGGCCGACCCUGGUGACUAUCUUGACCUCAGAUCAGGUGGGACUACCCGCUGAACUUAA
RNAcentral lists this unclassified non-coding RNA (347 nucleotides) under uncultured fungus. RNAcentral's name for it is "partial contains 5.8S ribosomal RNA, internal transcribed spacer 2, and large subunit ribosomal RNA". Lineage: Eukaryota; Fungi. The record is from RNAcentral.